This 132-nucleotide ribosomal RNA is filed under the name Castor canadensis (American beaver). Lineage: Eukaryota; Metazoa; Chordata; Mammalia; Rodentia; Castoridae. The record is from RNAcentral.
GUCUAUGGCCAUACCACCCUGAAUGCGCCCAUUCUGUUUGGUCUCAGUAGCUAAGCAGGGUCAGGCCUGGUUAGUACUUGGAUGGGAGACAGAUCUUCAGAGGAGACUCUCAGAGACAAGCAGUUGGUGACA